Anopheles arabiensis is the source of this 840-nucleotide long non-coding RNA. RefSeq lists it as uncharacterized. The record is from RefSeq and is a predicted model, not a curated record. The transcript is spliced from 3 exons. Lineage: Eukaryota; Metazoa; Arthropoda; Insecta; Diptera; Culicidae.
UGACAGAAAAUACAUGGCGAAGAAGCAGCAAAAUCCAGUGUUGCAGUGGUACGAAGAAGUAAUGGAAGCUAGACGUGAACCAGUGCACGAAGGUCAGCCUUUGCAGGGCAGUGUGAGCGUGUGGAAGAGUUUUUGUCAACAGAGGCAGGCAGGCAGGCAGGCAGUCCAUUCCACCCGUCCACUUGACAGAUGCUGGAGAAAAUCGAAAAAUACUCAACCACCGGUCCUGGGAAGACAACUGGGAAGAGAAGGGCCCAGAGUGCCAUCAUGAGCGGACCUGAUGGCUAGAAAGCACAUACACACACACGGACACACACUUUAUCGUCCAGAAACCGACAGGCGGGAUGAUUGGCAACCGCUCGAAGUUGAUUGAAAAGAAAACACUAGAACCAUAAUUACUGUGGUGGUGUUGCGCUGGGUAGGCGAGAGGUAAUCUAAAAGAGAGCAGCAGCAGCAGCAGCACCAUCAGCUCUAGUUGUAACGCGCGUGGCACGGUGUGGCUCGUUGAGGCGAGAACAUCCCGAAGUGUUCGGUACCGUUCGAGUGGAUUAGGACUUUUUCGUUCAACCUCUCCCGUCCCGAGGUCCCGAGGUCCCGAGAUACGAGCCAUGCGAAGAAUGCGGACGCAAAGCAACAUUGGAGCAACCGUAUGCGUACGGUCUAGAUGUAACUAUUUUUACUAGUCACCAGUGUGACGAUUGUACCAUGUGUGCAAGGCACGUUGGAAAGCGAAAAAAUGCAUUUGCACACGUGGUCUUCCAAUCUUCAAAGCCAAUUUACCAAUCCACAACCUGUGCACAGCGACAAUCCUAGCAACCACUGCUUGGUCACGCUAAUCAG